RNAcentral lists this transfer RNA (72 nucleotides) under bacterium. RNAcentral describes it as "tRNA-Arg". It matches the Rfam family "tRNA". From Rfam's summary of the family: Transfer RNA (tRNA) molecules are approximately 80 nucleotides in length. Their secondary structure includes four short double-helical elements and three loops (D, anti-codon, and T loops). The record is from RNAcentral.
GCUCCCGUAGUUCAAUGGAUAGAACGAACCGUUCCUAAUGGUUUGAUGUCAGUUCGAUUCUGGCCGGGAGCA